CGUAAAGAGCUCGUAGGUGGUUUGUCGCGUUGUUCGUGAAAUCUCACGGCUUAACUGUGAGCGUGCGGGCGAUACGGGCAGACUUGAGUACUGCAGGGGAGACUGGAAUUCCUGGUGUAGCGGUGGAAUGCGCAGAUAUCAGGAGGAACACCGGUGGCGAAGGCGGGUCUCUGGGCAGUAACUGACGCUGAGGAGCGAAAGCGUGGGGAGCGAACAGGAUUAGAUACCCUGGUAGUCCACGCCGUAAACGGUGGGUACUAGGUGUGGGUUUCCUUCCUUGGGAUCCGUGCCGUAGCUAACGCAUUAAGUACCCCGCCUGGGGAGUACGGCCGCAAGGCUAAAACUCAAAGAAAUUGACGGGGGCCCGCACAAGCGGCGGAGCAUGUGGAUUAAUUCGAUGCAACGCGAAGAACCUUACCUGGGUUUGACAUGCACAGGACGCCGGCAGAGAUGUCGGUUCCCUUGUGGCCUGUGUGCAGGUGGUGCAUGGCUGUCGUCAGCUCGUGUCGUGAGAUGUUGGGUUAAGUCCCGCAACGAGCGCAACCCUUGUCUCAUGUUGCCAGCGGGUAAUGCCGGGGACUCGUGAGAGACUGCCGGGGUCAACUCGGAGGAAGGUGGGGAUGACGUCAAGUCAUCAUGCCCCUUAUGUCCAGGGCUUCACACAUGCUACAAUGGCCGGUACAAAGGGCUGCGAUGCCGCGAGGUUAAGCGAAUCCUUUUAAAGCCGGUCUCAGUUCGGAUCGGGGUCUGCAACUCGACCCCGUGAAGUCGGAGUCGCUA
This 780-nucleotide ribosomal RNA is filed under the name uncultured bacterium. RNAcentral describes it as "bacterial SSU rRNA". It matches the Rfam family "Bacterial small subunit ribosomal RNA", at positions 559 to 1337 of the family's 1533-position model. The record is from RNAcentral.